AAUCAUUCUCAUACUUAGUUAUCAAGGAUACCUCGAUCGAGGGUUAUCCCAACUGAGUCCGCCAAGGCUGUUAAAUGUCUUUACAUCUGAAAUUUUAGCCAUGCCUUGACGUUAGCUGAGUCUCACUCUCAUGCGGUGGUCCACAUGAAGUGCACUCAAAUCUUUACCUCAGGAGAUACUUCAUCCAACAUCUCCCCCCGGAGGUAAAUAUAUAAUUAGGCUAUCGUGCCCCUCUCAUAGGCAAUCCACGGAAACCCCCACCACUGCAAUGACUAUGGAUUAUUUUAUCUAUCACCUGAUUUAUAAAAUCUUUUUCUACUUGACAUGACAAUUUAUCGCAACCUAGCCUCUCAAGGCUGAAUACACAGUAUAAAUAAUUCUAACACCAAAAAUCAGUUUAGCCAUUCAUGCUCAUAUAUUAUCAUAAGCCAUUUAAUUUAAAACCAUAAAUUUACAACACAAGCAGGCAGUCUCCAAUUACUCUAUAUUCAAAAUCAAUAUUCAAUUUUUCAAAAAAUUUAUAAAAUCAUUUUAUAAAAUCACAAUUUCUCCUAAAACAUAGCAAUUUACCAUUUAAACCCAUUUUUCAUAAAAUCACACAAUUGAAUAAAACUACUCUAGAUAAUUAAGACGAUAAUAAGUUCACUCACAGUUCUAGGAGUCGAUGUACUCUUAAUAUCAGUCUCCAAGCACAAUCUCUGUACUUUUACCAAUGUAAUUUACUCACCAUCUAUCCACAAUGUACAAUACAUAAUUCACCACAUCAAUGUUUGACCAUUAUAAAAUCAAUUCAGGCUCGGUUUAUAUGCAUGAUAUGAUAUGCAACUUAUCCGACUACCUCUUAAAUGCGGUGCUGACCUAAUUCGGCCAAUUACCCGAUUAAAUGACAAUUUUGUCCGAUUUGACUCCAAAUUGCUCCAUUUCAUUUCUAAUAUUUCAAUUCACUAAAUACAAUCCCAAUAAUCUAAAAUUCAGCCUAACAACCCUCACAAUUCUUCUUGAAAAUUUCGGCCAUUGUGGUGCACUAUCACUAAAACUUUUCCCAUUCCAUUUUCUCACCAUAAAUCAUCAUUUCAUCAAUUUUUUAACCAAUUCACUUGAUCACAAAAUCAAUUCAUUACUUCUACACUUCACAUAGGGUUCGGCCAUUGAAGGUUUAUGGGAAAAAUGGAUUCUUUUCUUGUUGUUUGUUUCUAAACAUGCUUAACUAACUCUAAACACCAACAUAACUUAGAAUCAAAUCAAUCUAACAUCAUUCUCUCUCCAUACCCAUUCCAACCAGCCAUGAAUUCAUCAUGAAAACAUGUAAUUUAACCAUGGAAAAUGAGGAGAAAUGCAUGGGUAAGGUAAAUCACUAGCAAAAUCAAAGAAAUUUUACCUUUGCUUGAUCAAAUCCUUGAAUUCCAACACUUUCUCUUUGAUUUUUCCCACCUAGGGUUUGUUCUUCCUUGGUUUCUCUUCUCUUCUAGUUUGGCUGACCACUAUGGGAG
This 1490-nucleotide long non-coding RNA is filed under the name Theobroma cacao (cacao). RNAcentral describes it as "long non-coding RNA (TCAC_LNC006152)". The record is from RNAcentral. Lineage: Eukaryota; Viridiplantae; Streptophyta; Magnoliopsida; Malvales; Malvaceae.